This 410-nucleotide unclassified non-coding RNA is filed under the name Hevea brasiliensis (rubber tree). The record is from RNAcentral. Lineage: Eukaryota; Viridiplantae; Streptophyta; Magnoliopsida; Malpighiales; Euphorbiaceae.
UUAUUCUAAAAUUGCUAAAAGGUUAUAGCACAAUGCAAAAUAUUGCACAGUCUAGGGCUACAUAACUCAAAAAUGCACGAGGGCUGCUUUUAAUUAACAUUGUUGCCAACUUACUUGCACGAAUCCUUUUUAAAGGGCAGGGGAGCAGUGAAAGACAAAAAGAACCAUAAGGAUCAAGACCUGGAAGUACUAUGCUAUAUUUUCUCGUACUGCUCCUCUGAUGCUCCAUUUACUGCAUAUUUAAGCACUCAUUAAGCCUAAAUAAUGUUUCACUCAGGAGCCAAUGCUAGAAAGCAAUUCGCUGCUCUCAAGAUUAUCUUCUUUAUUUGCUUCUGAAGUUGGAGUAGAACGUGCUCUUUCUGCAGCCAAAUUCAAUCUCAAAGGCCGCCCUUCCACUUCCACUCCAUUCA